Molecule: ribosomal RNA, 370 nt
Filed under: uncultured bacterium
Lineage: Bacteria
Description: bacterial SSU rRNA
Rfam family: Bacterial small subunit ribosomal RNA
Source: RNAcentral
GAUGAACGCUGGCGGUAUGCCUAACACAUGCAAGUCGAACGAAAUCUUCGGAGUUAGUGGCGGACGGGUGAGUAACACGUGAGAAUCUGCCUGUUGGUCGGGGAUAACAGUUGGAAACGACUGCUAAUACCGGAUGAGCCGAAAGGUAAAAAUUUAUUGCCAACAGAAGAGCUCGCGCCUGAUUAGCUAGAUGGUGGGGUAAAAGCCUACCAUGGCGACGAUCAGUAGCUGGUCUGAGAGGAUGAGCAGCCACACUGGGACUGAGACACGGCCCAGACUCCUACGGGAGGCAGCAGUGGGAAUUUUCCGCAAUGGGCGAAAGCCUGACGGAGCAAUACCGCGUGAGGGAGGAAGGUUCUUGGAUCGUAAA